GCGCCACCUGCUUCCUGCGGCAAGUGCAUGGCGGCUUCCUGUUUACAUUUUUGAACUCCGCAUGCUUUCAACUUCCAAGCUUGACGCUGUUGUUCAUGACAUUGUGAAAAAUAUAUGGAUAUAUAUGGGUGGUGAUGAUAUUUAGCAUCAUCCGGAAAGUCAAGCAUCUAUAUUUGGUCUACGACAAUUUGCCUACUGGUCAUCAAAGAUGCUGGAAUUUUUUCAAAACGCCAACUACACGUGCAAGCUUACUUUGAAGAUGUUCUGUGUGACUAUCCCAUAGCAUGAAUUCAUUAAAGUAGACUCCAAGCAUUCUGUGUUAGUAAUUUCUAUGGCAUUCCCUCCUAAGUCCUUUUUACCUGGCUAACCACUGUCUCGGCAUAACUUGACAUGCUUGCAGAUAUUGAACAGCUGAUGGUGCGACAAGAAUCCCAGUAUCUUCCUUGCUGUACAUUUUGAAACAAUUCUUGAACAUACAAUUUCCGUCGUGAAGUGGUACAUCC
Rhipicephalus sanguineus (brown dog tick) is the source of this 503-nucleotide long non-coding RNA. RefSeq lists it as uncharacterized. The transcript has 4 exons. Lineage: Eukaryota; Metazoa; Arthropoda; Arachnida; Ixodida; Ixodidae. The record is from RefSeq and is a predicted model, not a curated record.